Molecule: ribosomal RNA, 386 nt
Filed under: uncultured prokaryote
Description: bacterial SSU rRNA
Rfam family: Archaeal small subunit ribosomal RNA
Source: RNAcentral
GCGCGAAAACUUUACAAUGCCGGCAACGGCGAUAAGGGGACCUCGAGUGCCAGGUUACAAAUCUGGCUGUCGUGAUGCCUAAAAAGCAUUGCAUAGCAAGGGCCGGGCAAGACCGGUGCCAGCCGCCGCGGUAACACCGGCGGCUCGAGUGGUAACCGUUAUUAUUGGGUCUAAAGGGUCUGUAGCCGGCCGGAUAAGUCUCUUGGGAAAUCCAGCAGCUUAACUGUGGGGGUUUCAGGAGAUACUGUCUGGCUCGAGGCCGGGAGAGGUGAGAGGUACUUCAGGGGUAGGGGUGAAAGCUUGUAAGCCUUGAAGGACCACCAGUGGCGAAGGCGUCUCACCAGAACGGACCUGACGGCAAGGGACGAAAGCUAGGGGCACGAACC